AGGACGAACGCUGGCGGCGUGCUUAACACAUGCAAGUCGAGCGGAAAGGCCCUUCGGGGUACUCGAGCGGCGAACGGGUGAGUAACACGUGAGUAACCUGCCCCAGGCUUUGGGAUAACCCUCGGAAACGGGGGCUAAUACCGGAUAUUCAUUUCUCGUGGCAUCACGGGCUGUGGAAAGUUUUUCGGCUUGGGAUGGGCUCGCGGCCUAUCAGCUUGUUGGUGGGGUGAUGGCCUACCAAGGCGACGACGGGUA
Molecule: ribosomal RNA, 255 nt
Filed under: uncultured bacterium
Lineage: Bacteria
Description: partial small subunit ribosomal RNA
Rfam family: Bacterial small subunit ribosomal RNA
Source: RNAcentral